AAUUUCGUGUGGGAUUUAAUUUCGUUGAUAAUUGUUAAUAACGAAAUAAACGAAAUUUAAUCCCCCACAAAUAUUUGUGCUUUUACAGUACUCAUAAACCGCUGCACUUUGUCUGAAAAUAAAUUAGUAAUUAGUGCUUUGAAAUCUGCUCUUUGGUUAACAAUUUAUUAUGAAAUAAAUUUUGAAUUAUAAGGCCCCAGGAUCAGUGGUUCCUGUGGGAUGGGGUGCAUCAGUGUUGCAUGCUAAGUGUAUAGUUAUGAUAAAAACAUUGGUGCCUCUUUUAAAAUUAUGAAUUUCAUGUCUUUUGGUUUAAAAAAAAACAUGAACCAAAUUCAAUUUUUGGAAAGUUAUUACAUGAUACUCAGGUGACCUAUAAAUAUAAGACCUGUUGGCCUCUUGUUUUACAGAACAAUUUGUAUAGUUUUGAACUUGUGUAUGUUAAUUUAUGACUGUGUUUAAAUUUCAUCUGUAGAAGUUUACAUUGCUACAUGUUUAAGCCCAAGCAUUUAUUCUCACUCUGGGCUAAUUGAUUUGAUCAGCAAAAAAGUUUCCCAUAUUUCAUAAUGGUAUAAUUUACUUCUUACAGUGUUCAUGAUUACCAGUAUAUACAUGUGAUUGAGUUUACAGAUUACUGGUUUUGACAGUGUGAAGUCAAUGAUUUCAGUAUGUGUCCAAUUCAGAGUAAAAAUUUUGUUUGUUAAAAAUGAAAAAAAGUUAAACUUCGAUAAUUUUGAAUAUAUCUGCAGGAAGAAAACUGCUCUUUGCAUAUCAACAUAAUCAUUCAUAUUAUACAAUAGUGAGGAGAAUUACAUAGAAAUGAAUGCAGUAUGGUUGACAAUUCUGUAUUUGAUUAGACUUGGGUGAUAAUGAUGACUUGUGAUAUUUAGGAACUUUAUUUAUGGAAAUUCUAAUAUAUUGUGAACAAAGGAUGAGUUUUGAAAUAUUGGUGUCUGUGAUGACAACAUCAUGAAAAUGUGAAACCCUGAUUAUUUUACUGCCUUGAUGUUGUUUUGUUAUAUUCUUUCUUUGAUUUAAUAGAAGGACAAUUUAUAAAUAAUAAACAUUGUAUUCAUUAA
Molecule: long non-coding RNA, 1076 nt
Organism: Saccostrea cuccullata (small rock oyster)
Lineage: Eukaryota; Metazoa; Mollusca; Bivalvia; Ostreida; Ostreidae
Exons: 2
Source: RefSeq, a predicted model, not a curated record